Molecule: transfer RNA, 69 nt
Filed under: Ictidomys tridecemlineatus (thirteen-lined ground squirrel)
Lineage: Eukaryota; Metazoa; Chordata; Mammalia; Rodentia; Sciuridae
Description: Spermophilus tridecemlineatus (thirteen-lined ground squirrel) tRNA
Rfam family: tRNA
About the family: Transfer RNA (tRNA) molecules are approximately 80 nucleotides in length.
Source: Rfam by way of RNAcentral
GGGUUUGUGGCUCAGUGGUAGAGCUCUUGCCUAGCAUGCAUGAGGCUCUGGGUUUGAUCCUCAGCACCA